UACGGGGGGGGCAAGCGUUGUUCGGAAUUACUGGGCGUAAAGGGCUCGUAGGCGGCCAACUAAGUCAGACGUGAAAUCCCUCGGCUUAACCGGGGAACUGCAUCUGAUACUGGAUGGCUUGAGUUUGGGAGAGGGAUGCGGAAUUCCAGGUGUAGCGGUGAAAUGCGUAGAUAUCUGGAGGAACACCGGUGGCGAAGGCGGCAUCCUGGGCCAACACUGACGCUGAGGAGCGAAAGCGAGGGGAGCAAACGGG
RNAcentral lists this ribosomal RNA (253 nucleotides) under uncultured bacterium. RNAcentral describes it as "partial 16S ribosomal RNA". It matches the Rfam family "Bacterial small subunit ribosomal RNA", at positions 524 to 776 of the family's 1533-position model. The record is from RNAcentral.